This is a non-coding RNA of Trichobilharzia regenti, 46 nucleotides long. NCBI's taxonomy places the organism in Eukaryota, Metazoa, Platyhelminthes, Trematoda, Strigeidida, Schistosomatidae. The record is from Rfam.
GUACUGCUGAAGAGUCCCAAACUAGGACAAAGCAGCUGUCCAGUAC